CAGCAGUAGCCGCGGUAAUACAGAGGGUGCGAGCGUUAAUCGGAUUUACUGGGCGUAAAGCGUGCGUAGGCGGCUUUUUAAGUCGGAUGUGAAAUCCCUGAGCUUAACUUAGGAAUUGCAUUCGAUACUGGGAAGCUAGAGUAUGGGAGAGGAUGGUAGAAUUCCAGGUGUAGCGGUGAAAUGCGUAGAGAUCUGGAGGAAUACCGAUGGCGAAGGCAGCCAUCUGGCCUAAUACUGACGCUGAGGUACGAAAGCAUGGGGAGCAAACAGGAUUAGAUACCCCGGUAGUCCCUGUCUCUUAUAC
This 304-nucleotide ribosomal RNA is filed under the name uncultured bacterium. RNAcentral's name for it is "partial 16S ribosomal RNA". It matches the Rfam family "Bacterial small subunit ribosomal RNA", at positions 506 to 807 of the family's 1533-position model. The record is from RNAcentral.